Molecule: long non-coding RNA, 988 nt
Filed under: Phasianus colchicus (ring-necked pheasant)
Lineage: Eukaryota; Metazoa; Chordata; Aves; Galliformes; Phasianidae
Description: lncRNA (ENSPCLG00000017422.1)
Source: RNAcentral
GGUUAAUGAGGAUGGCGAGGCCUGCGUGCGGCCUACGUGCGGCCUGUGGGGCUCAAAUGGGGCCUUGUGUGGGGCCUGGUAUCGAGACUGGGGGGGGGCCCUAUGGGGGGCUCAAUAUGGGGCCUACGUGGGGCCCUAUAUGGGGGCCUAUGGGGCUGUAUCUAGGCCUAUGUGGGGCCUAUGGGGCUCACAUGGGCCUAUGUGGGGCUUUGUAUGGGGUCAAUGUGUGGGGCCAUAUUUGGGUCCUAUGUGGGGCUCAAUAUGGGGGUCUAUGUGGGGCCCUAUGUGGGGCCUGUGUCCAGGCCUAUGUGGGGCCUAAAUGGGUCCUAUGUGGGGCCUUAUAUGGGGCUCAAUAUGGGGUCUAUGUGGAGCCCUAUAUGGGGCUGAUAUGGGGCCCUAUGUGGGGCCUUAUAUGGGGCCUGUGUCUAGGCCUAUAUGGGGCCAUAUGUGGGGCCUGUGGGGCUCAAAUGGAGCCAAUGUGUGGGGCCCUAUAUGGGGCACUUAUGGAGGCCUCCAUGGGGCAGAUGUGGGGCCCUAUAUAGUGCCUCUAUGGGGCAUAUAUUGGGCCCUAUAUGGGGGCCUCUAUGGGUCACAUGUGGGCCAUUUAUGCGACCCUACAUAGGGUCUUUCUGGGGCAUUUAUGGGGGCGCUAUACGGGGCCCCUGUAGCCCCACGAGGCGCCUGUAGGGGGCGCUCUCCACGAGGCACAAUGGAGUUCAAUGGCGAACGACCCCCAUUGAAAGCAACGGGGCGGUGUGGGGCUGAGCCCCAUCGCUCACUGCGGACCCCCCCGCCCAGAUCCGGGCCCCCCCGCGCUGGAACGGCGUCUGCGGGCGGUGGAAGCGGAGGUGGCGGUGCUGAAAGCGGCCCUGGGGGACGCGCUGCGGCGUAUCGGCCUCUGGGAGGGGCGGCUGCCCCACGGUGAGAACCCCCCCCACAAAGGGGGAAAAAGUGUUGGGGCUGGGGGGGCCAUGUGCCACGUGGUGGG